AACCAUAGAAACCUGCGGAGUACCUGCGGAGGGAUCAUUACCGAGUUUACAACUCCCAAACCCCUGUGAACAUACCAAUUGUUGCCUCGGCGGAUCAGCCCGCUCCCGGUAAAACGGGACGGCCCGCCAGAGGACCCCUAAACUCUGUUUCUAUAUGUAACUUCUGAGUAAAACCAUAAAUAAAUCAAAACUUUUAACAACGGAUCU
RNAcentral lists this unclassified non-coding RNA (207 nucleotides) under soil metagenome. RNAcentral describes it as "partial contains 5.8S ribosomal RNA, internal transcribed spacer 2, and large subunit ribosomal RNA". The record is from RNAcentral.